UACGAAGGGGGCUAGCGUUGCUCGGAAUCACUGGGCGUAAAGGGUGCGUAGGCGGGUCUUUAAGUCAGGGGUGAAAUCCUGGAGCUCAACUCCAGAACUGCCUUUGAUACUGAGGAUCUUGAGUCCGGGAGAGGUGAGUGGAACUGCGAGUGUAGAGGCGAAAUUCGUAGAUAUUCGCAAGAACACCAGUGGCGAAGGCGGCUCACUGGCCCGGUACUGACGCUGAGGCACGAAAGCGUGGGGAGCAAACAGG
Molecule: ribosomal RNA, 253 nt
Filed under: uncultured bacterium
Lineage: Bacteria
Description: partial 16S ribosomal RNA
Rfam family: Bacterial small subunit ribosomal RNA
Source: RNAcentral